Molecule: ribosomal RNA, 376 nt
Filed under: uncultured organism
Description: partial 16S ribosomal RNA
Rfam family: Bacterial small subunit ribosomal RNA
Source: RNAcentral
GUAGGGUGCAAGCGUUAUCCGGAAUCAUUGGGCAUAAAGAGCUCGUAGGCGGUUCAGCAAGUCGGCUGUGAAAUCCCGAGGCUUAACCUCGGAACUGCAGUCGAUACUGCUGUGACUAGAGUCCGGUAGAGGAGAAUGGAAUUCCCGGUGUGGCGGUGAAAUGCGCAGAUAUCGGGAGGAACACCAGUAGCGAAGGCGGUUCUCUGGGCCGGUACUGACGCUGAGGAGCGAAAGCGUGGGGGUAGCAAACAGGAUUAGAUACCCUGGUAGUCCACGCCGUAAACGUUGGGCACUAGGUGUGGCGUUCCGACCAACGGGUGCCGUGCCGAAGCUAACGCAUUAAGUGUCCCCGCCUGGGAGUACGGCCGCAAGGCUA